GGAGAGAUGGCUGAGCGGUUGAAAGCCCCGGUCUUGAAAACCGGUAUAGUUGAAAAAACUAUCGAGGGUUCGAAUCCCUCUCUCUCCU
RNAcentral lists this transfer RNA (88 nucleotides) under Cuscuta polyanthemos. RNAcentral describes it as "tRNA-Ser". It matches the Rfam family "tRNA". From Rfam's summary of the family: Transfer RNA (tRNA) molecules are approximately 80 nucleotides in length. Their secondary structure includes four short double-helical elements and three loops (D, anti-codon, and T loops). Further hydrogen bonds mediate the characteristic L-shaped molecular structure. tRNAs have two regions of fundamental functional importance: the anti-codon, which is responsible for specific mRNA codon recognition, and the 3' end, to which the tRNAs corresponding amino acid is attached (by aminoacyl-tRNA synthetases). tRNAs cope with the degeneracy of the genetic code in two manners: having more than one tRNA (with a specific anti-codon) for a particular amino acid; and 'wobble' base-pairing, i.e. permitting non-standard base-pairing at the 3rd anti-codon position. The record is from RNAcentral. Lineage: Eukaryota; Viridiplantae; Streptophyta; Magnoliopsida; Solanales; Convolvulaceae.